GAGCAACGAUGAAAAGGUUUUGCUACUGACCUUUAUAACUAUGAACAUUUCUACCCUUGAUCUGAGCUCA
This is a small nucleolar RNA of Delphinapterus leucas (beluga whale), 70 nucleotides long. Ensembl annotates it as small nucleolar RNA U2-30. The record is from Ensembl. NCBI's taxonomy places the organism in Eukaryota, Metazoa, Chordata, Mammalia, Artiodactyla, Monodontidae.